CUACGUGCCAGCAGCCGCGGUAAUACGGAAGGUCCGGGCGUUAUCCGGAUUUAUUGGGUUUAAAGGGAGUGUAGGCGGUCUGUUAAGCGUGUUGUGAAAUUUAGGUGCUCAACAUUUAACUUGCAGCGCGAACUGUCAGACUUGAGUACACGCAGCGCAGGCGGAAUUCAUGGUGUAGCGGUGAAAUGCUUAGAUAUGACGAAGAACUCCGAUUGCGAAGGCAGCUGACGGGAGCGCAACUGACGCUUAAGCUCGAAGGUGCGGGUAUCGAACAGGAUUAGAUACCCUGGUAGUCCGCACAGUAAACGAUGGAUGCCCGCUGUUAGCGCCUGGCGUUAGCGGCUAAGCGAAAGCAUUAAGCAUCCCACCUGGGGAGUACGCCGGCAACGGUGAAACUCAAAGGAAUUGACGGGGGCCCGCACAAGCGGAGGAACAUGUGGUUUAAUUCGAUGAUACGCGAGGAACCUUACCCGGGCUUGAA
Molecule: ribosomal RNA, 481 nt
Filed under: uncultured bacterium
Lineage: Bacteria
Description: bacterial SSU rRNA
Rfam family: Bacterial small subunit ribosomal RNA
Source: RNAcentral